ACAAAGUACAUCCUCUAUAGUCAUCAACUCUGUAUAAUUCAGCUCAAUUUUUAUGAGGUCAGCACUUAAUUGCUUUUGUAAAAUGUAUUUUAGUUACUGAGCUUAGUGUUGAUGUACUUGUAAUGUCUCCAUAAUCUGCUUACUAAUGUCAAUGAGUUCAGCAUUGAAACCGGCCUGCAUAGUCUUUGAGCUACAUGUAAGAUGAUGGCUACUCAUUUAAAAUAUAUGUUUAAAUCUGCCAGCAUAGACUUGAAUUAAGAUACAUAGUUCAGCGGAUAGCUGCUCAUGUAUAUUGUAUGUUAAAAUCUGCUUGCAUAGUCUUGAGUUAAGAUACAUAGUUCAGCGGAUAGCUGCUCAUGUAAAUUGUAUGUCAAAAGCUGCUUGCAUAGUCGAGAGUUAAGAUACAUGAGUUCAGCGGAUAGCUGCUCAUGUAAAUUGUAUGAUGAAAUCUGGCUUGCAUAGUCUUGAGUUAAGAUACAUGAGUUCAGCGGAUAGCUGCUCAUGUAAAUUGUAUGUUAAAAAUUCUGCCUGCAUUGUCUUGAGGUUAGAUAAAGACCUUCAUAAUUGGCUUCCCUUGAUACACAAUUGAACAGCUAACAGGUGAAUGUUAAUGUAUUUGUUGCAUCAGAUUUUGUUAUUUGUCAAGAACACCUAGUCUUAAAAGUAUGUGAUAUCAUAUGAACUUCGACUUCAAUGUUGUUAUAUAAAAUGCUGUAAAUUUCUGUAUUUUACUGUUUUUAUAAAAAAAAGUUUUCUUUUGAUUUUCUCCUUGUUUGGCGUCAACCCCUCACUGCGUGACACUGCGUGAGGGCUUGUGGCGCAAUUGUUUGGACGCCUCCAAGGAUUUACUCAUUUAUGUUAUAUUUUAUGCAUAUUUACAUGUACUCUGAUAUGUUCACUGCAUGUAAAUUUCUAGUCAGUCUCAGGGGGAUCACACUUGUACCUUUCACCUAUGUACAUGUAACCUGUAUUGUUUAAUAUUAGGUGAUCCCCCUUAAUGAUUUGUUUUACCUUUUACUUUAUGUCAUUGAAUUAAAUGACAUAUUCGACAAAACUGCA
Long non-coding RNA from Saccostrea cuccullata (small rock oyster), 1059 nucleotides. RefSeq lists it as uncharacterized. NCBI's taxonomy places the organism in Eukaryota, Metazoa, Mollusca, Bivalvia, Ostreida, Ostreidae. The record is from RefSeq and is a predicted model, not a curated record. The transcript has 2 exons.